RNAcentral lists this ribosomal RNA (898 nucleotides) under uncultured bacterium. RNAcentral describes it as "bacterial SSU rRNA". It matches the Rfam family "Bacterial small subunit ribosomal RNA", at positions 33 to 914 of the family's 1533-position model. The record is from RNAcentral.
ACGCUGGCGGCGUGCCUAAUACAUGCAAGUAGAACGCUGAAGGAGGAGCUUGCUUCUCUGGAUGAGUUGCGAACGGGUGAGUAACGCGUAGGUAACCUGCCUGGUAGCGGGGGAUAACUAUUGGAAACGAUAGCUAAUACCGCAUAACAGUAGAUGUUGCAUGACAUUUGCUUAAAAGGUGCAAUUGCAUCACUACCAGAUGGACCUGCGUUGUAUUAGCUAGUUGGUGGGGUAACGGCUCACCAAGGCGACGAUACAUAGCCGACCUGAGAGGGUGAUCGGCCACACUGGGACUGAGACACGGCCCAGACUCCUACGGGAGGCAGCAGUAGGGAAUCUUCGGCAAUGGACGGAAGUCUGACCGAGCAACGCCGCGUGAGUGAAGAAGGUUUUCGGAUCGUAAAGCUCUGUUGUAAGAGAAGAACAGGUGUGAGAGUGGAAAGUUCACACUGUGACGGUAUCUUACCAGAAAGGGACGGCUAACUACGUGCCAGCAGCCGCGGUAAUACGUAGGUCCCGAGCGUUGUCCGGAUUUAUUGGGCGUAAAGCGAGCGCAGGCGGUUAGAUAAGUCUGAAGUUAAAGGCUGUGGCUUAACCAUAGUACGCUUUGGAAACUGUUUAACUUGAGUGCAAGAGGGGAGAGUGGAAUUCCAUGUGUAGCGGUGAAAUGCGUAGAUAUAUGGAGGAACACCGGUGGCGAUAGCGGCUCUCUGGCUUGUAACUGACGCUGAGGCUCGAAAGCGUGGGGAGCAAACAGGAUUAGAUACCCCUGGUAGUCCACGCCGUAAACGAUGAGUGCUAGGUGUUAGACCCUUUCCGGGGUUUAGUGCCGCAGCUAACGCAUUAAGCACUCCGCCUGGGGAGUACGACCGCAAGGUUGAAACUCAAAGGAAUUGAC